AUGGAGUACUAUCAUAUUGCCAACAAGAUGUUUAAUAGUGAGGAUGAAGGGUAUACAUUCUAUAACAAAUAUGGUCCUGAGAAAGGUUUUAGUGUCCGGAGAAGCUAUGUCGAGUGGGAUGGAUCCAACUGCCAUAUAAUUUGAAGGAAUUUUGUGUGUAGUCGUGAAGGGGUUCAUGAAGAGAAGCACAUGAAGAGGAAGAUGGAAGAUAGAAAGAGGAGGCCACGGAGUAUAACUCGUGUAGGGUGUAAAGCUAAAUUGGUGAUUGCAAGACAGGAGGAAACAGGUCAGUGGUUUGUCAAGGAUUUCAUCGAUGAACCCAACCAUCCUCUAGCCCCACAAGAUCUGUCGUGUCUUUUGCGUUCACACAGAAGAAUUAGCGAUGAGCAGAAAGCGGACAUUGCAGACAUGGAAAAAGCUGGGAUCAGAAAACACCAUAUUAUGGAUAUUAUGUGCAUGCAAUACGGUGGAUAUGAUGAGGUUGGAUGCAUUAUGAGGGACAUUUACAAUUUCUGCCAUGCUAACAAGCAGGAAACAAUUUCUUCCGGGGAUGCUCAAACGGUGAUUAAUCACAUGGUGGCGAGGCAAGAGCAAGAUUCAGAUGUUUUCUUCAGGUACUUGGUUGAUGAAGCUGGCCAUCUGAAGGGACUGUUCAGGUGUGAUAGUCAAUCCCGACUUGACUACGAGGCUUUCGGAGAUGUUAUUGUUUUUGAUAGCACAUACAGAACCAAUACGUACAAUCUGCCAUUUGUGCCAUUUGUCGGGUUGAAUCACCACCGCAGCACCGUUAUUUUUGCAUGUGGUAUCAUUUCACAUGAAAUAAGCCAGGCAUACGAGUGGAUGUUACGGACCUUUUAUGAUGCUAUGAGACAGAAGCAUCCUAUAUCUGUGAUCACGGAUGGGGACCUUGCAAUGCAGAGAGCAAUCAGGGUGGUGUGGCCUGACUCAAACCAGAGGCUAUGUAUAUGGCACAUUCAGCAGAACAUUGUACGCCAUCUGCAUGAUGACGCGGUAAAGGAGGAAUUCAGAUCUUUCAUAUAUGAUACAUCUUCCAUUGAAGAGCAUGAGAGAAAAUGGUUACACUUAUUACAACAGAAUAAAGUAACCAGUGAGGACUCCUGGCUGCAUUAGAUGUAUAAGAUGAGAAAACUAUGGUGUGCUCCCUAUCUUGAGGGCCGUUGUUUCCUAGGAUUGAGCAGCAAUCAGUGGAGUGAGAGUUUAAACUCGGUGCUACAUACGCAUCAUGAGGCUAAGAUGACGUUGUUUCAAAUGCUAGAGAACUAUGAGCAUUGCCUUGCGUCGCGACGCUUGAACGAGGCUCUCCAAGACGUCGAGGCCUUGCAGUCCGUUCCGUUCACAAAGGAAAAUGCUUCAGUUCUUGAGAAACACGCCGCGAAAGUUUUCACUCCUGGUGUGUUUAAGUUGGUUUUAUGGAGCAUAGAUGCUGUCAACAAAUGUGAGAUCAGAGAGGUACUUGAUACAGCAGAGGUUACCACAUACGUUGUGUCUAAGAAGGAAUGAAUGGAUAAAAAGAUCGAAGUGCGCACGGAGUCGAAGGAAGGUCUGCUUCGCAGUAUCAGUUAUUCUUGCCGCAAAUUGGAAUGCGCAGGCACACCAUGUUCCCACAUAUUUUACAUAUUGGGAAUUUUACAAGAAGAAACACUGUCCAGGUGUUGUGUUCCCUCUAGGUGGACAAUGAGUGCGAAAUGUGCAUUCGCACCGACCAGAAAGAGUGAGAUGUUUAGUCACGCAGCAUGUUUCAAGGCAUGCCACUCUGAUGAGGCGUUUCAGCAUCUAAAAAGGGUUUUGAAGGGACAAGAUGUUUGCAAGGGAUCAACAAGUGAACAAGCUGAUAGCAAUGGAUCAACUAAUGCUCAGGGUACCAGCAUUAGGUUUGGCCCGUUGAUGCCACAAUUGGCUAACCUUGAUGGUGAAGGUUUCAAAAAGGUUCUGGAUCCCGUGCAUGUGCCAGGCCGAGGUGCUCCGAAGAAAAGGCUACAGGCAAGGAUGAAGAAAAUCAGAACAAAGGGUAGAUGUAGCUAUUUUCAUGAGGCAGAUGGUAACAAUCGACGUACGUGCGCCAAAUUGAUAGAGGUACCUAAUAUGCCGUAA
RNAcentral lists this ribosomal RNA (2112 nucleotides) under Triticum aestivum (bread wheat). RNAcentral describes it as "partial small subunit ribosomal RNA". Lineage: Eukaryota; Viridiplantae; Streptophyta; Magnoliopsida; Poales; Poaceae. The record is from RNAcentral.